Molecule: ribosomal RNA, 496 nt
Filed under: Obesumbacterium proteus
Lineage: Bacteria; Pseudomonadati; Pseudomonadota; Gammaproteobacteria; Enterobacterales; Hafniaceae
Description: bacterial SSU rRNA
Rfam family: Bacterial small subunit ribosomal RNA
Source: RNAcentral
CCCAAUGCCGCGGCCUACACAUGCAGUCGAGCGGUAGCACAAAGAGAGCUUGCUCUCUGGGUGACGAGCGGCGGACGGGUGAGUAAUGUCUGGGAAACUGCCUGAUGGAGGGGGAUAACUACUGGAAACGGUAGCUAAUACCGCAUGACGUCUUCGGACCAAAGUGGGGGACCUUCGGGCCUCACGCCAUCAGAUGUGCCCAGAUGGGAUUAGCUAGUAGGUGGGGUAAUGGCUCACCUAGGCGACGAUCUCUAGCUGGUCUGAGAGGAUGACCAGCCACACUGGAACUGAGACACGGUCCAGACUCCUACGGGAGGCAGCAGUGGGGAAUAUUGCACAAUGGGCGCAAGCCUGAUGCAGCCAUGCCGCGUGUAUGAAGAAGGCCUUCGGGUUGUAAAGUACUUUCAGCGAGGAGGAAGGCAUUAAGGUUAAUAACCUUGGUGAUUGACGUUACUCGCAGAAGAAGCACCGGCUAACUCUGUGCAGCAGCCGCCAU